CUCCUGGGUAUAAAUAGAGAUGCUUUGGGGUAGUCGGUCUUUUGGAGCUACUCUACCAUUCAGCGCUGUUUGAGUUGAUUCAUGAUUCCAAAUACUUCUUGCUUGGGAGAAGAAGAGCAAUAUUCAACUUCAGCUGGUAACCUGAUAACUUGGUUUGGGAUCCUUUAAUAAGAGUUUGAAAAUCAUCUCUUAACGGAAUUUGCGUUCCUAGACAAUUGUUAUCCCAGAUUUAAACCUUGACUGCUGACAGAGGCUACCCAGUUCACCAAGUAUUCCUGGAAAUUAAGGAAUUUAAGAAAGCACGGGGGGGGGUGAAGUUAAAAUUUGUCAUGGUGACUAAGAAUAUUUGGCAUUUUCCAAAUUCCAAACAAGACCAGUCAUGUUUUCUAACAAAU
Urocitellus parryii (Arctic ground squirrel) is the source of this 395-nucleotide long non-coding RNA. RefSeq lists it as uncharacterized. Lineage: Eukaryota; Metazoa; Chordata; Mammalia; Rodentia; Sciuridae. The record is from RefSeq and is a predicted model, not a curated record.